AUUGAACGCUGGCGGCAUGCCUUACACAUGCAAGUCGAACGGCAGCGCGGGGCAACCUGGCGGCGAGUGGCGAACGGGUGAGUAAUAUAUCGGAACGUACCCUGGAGUGGGGGAUAACGUAGCGAAAGUUACGCUAAUACCGCAUACGAUCUAAGGAUGAAAGUGGGGGAUUCGCAAGAACCUCAUGCUCCUGGAGCGGCCGAUAUCUGAUUAGCUAGUUGGUGGGGUAAAGGCCUACCAAGGCAUCGAUCAGUAGCUGGUCUGAGAGGACGACCAGCCACACUGGAACUGAGACACGGUCCAGACUCCUACGGGAGGCAGCAGUGGGGAAUUUUGGACAAUGGGCGAAAGCCUGAUCCAGCAAUGCCGCGUGAGUGAAGAAGGCCU
RNAcentral lists this ribosomal RNA (387 nucleotides) under uncultured bacterium. RNAcentral's name for it is "bacterial SSU rRNA". It matches the Rfam family "Bacterial small subunit ribosomal RNA", at positions 30 to 417 of the family's 1533-position model. The record is from RNAcentral.